RNAcentral lists this ribosomal RNA (497 nucleotides) under uncultured bacterium. RNAcentral describes it as "partial 16S ribosomal RNA". It matches the Rfam family "Bacterial small subunit ribosomal RNA", at positions 28 to 507 of the family's 1533-position model. The record is from RNAcentral.
GAUGAACGCUGGCGGCGUGCCUAAUACAUGCAAGUCGAGCGAACAGACGAGGAGCUUGCUCCUCUGACGUUAGCGGCGGACGGGUGAGUAACACGUGGAUAACCUACCUAUAAGACUGGGAUAACUUCGGGAAACCGGAGCUAAUACCGGAUAAUAUAUUGAACCGCAUGGUUCAAUAGUGAAAGACGGUUUUGCUGUCACUUAUAGAUGGAUCCGCGCCGCAUUAGCUAGUUGGUAAGGUAACGGCUUACCAAGGCAACGAUGCGUAGCCGACCUGAGAGGGUGAUCGGCCACACUGGAACUGAGACACGGUCCAGACUCCGACGGGAGGCAGCAGUAGGGAAUCUUCCGCAAUGGGCGAGAGCUUGACGGAGCAACGCCGCGUGAGUGAUGAAGGUCUUCGGAUCGUAAAACUCUGUUAUUAGGGAAGAACAAAUGUGUAAGUAACUGUGCACGUCUUGACGGUACCUAAUCAGAAAGCCACGGCUAACUACGUG